UACAGAGGUGGCGAGCGUUAUUCGGAAUUAUUGGGCGUAAAGGGCGCGUAGGCGGCCACGCAAGUCUUGGGUGAAAUCCCUCGGCUCAACCGAGGAACUGCCUUGGAAACUGCAUGGCUCGAGGCCGGGAGAGGGUAGCGGAAUUCCCAGUGUAGCGGUGAAAUGCGUAGAUAUUGGGAGGAACACCGGUGGCGAAGGCGGCUACCUGGACCGGUUCUGACGCUGAGGCGCGAAGGCUAGGGGAGCGAACGGG
This 253-nucleotide ribosomal RNA is filed under the name uncultured bacterium. RNAcentral's name for it is "partial 16S ribosomal RNA". It matches the Rfam family "Bacterial small subunit ribosomal RNA", at positions 524 to 776 of the family's 1533-position model. The record is from RNAcentral.